RNAcentral lists this ribosomal RNA (468 nucleotides) under uncultured bacterium. RNAcentral describes it as "partial 16S ribosomal RNA". It matches the Rfam family "Bacterial small subunit ribosomal RNA", at positions 28 to 507 of the family's 1533-position model. The record is from RNAcentral.
GACGAGCGCUGGCGGCGUGCUUAACACAUGCAAGUCGAACGGAAAGGCCCUGCUUUUGUGGGGUGCUCGAGUGGCGAACGGGUGAGUAACACGUGAGUAACCUGCCCUUGACUUUGGGAUAACUUCAGGAAACUGGGGCUAAUACCGGAUAGGAGCUCCUGCUGCAUGGUGGGGGUUGGAAAGUUUCGGCGGUUGGGGAUGGACUCGCGGCUUAUCAGCUUGUUGGUGGGGUAGUGGCUUACCAAGGCUUUGACGGGUAGCCGGCCUGAGAGGGUGACCGGCCACAUUGGGACUGAGAUACGGCCCAGACUCCAACGGGAGGAAGCAGUGGGGAAUAUUGCACAAUGGGCGGAAGCCUGAUGCAGCAACGCCGCGUGCGGGAUGACGGCCUUCGGGUUGUAAACCGCUUUCGCCUGUGACGAAGCGUGAGUGACGGUAAUGGGUAAAGAAGCACCGGCUAACUACGUG